GCCUGGGUGGCUCAGUCGGUUAAGCACCCGACUCUUGAUCUCAGCUCAGGUCGUGAUCUCGGGGUCAUGGUCUCAGGAUCGUGAGUUCAAGCCCCACCUUGGGCU
This 105-nucleotide transfer RNA is filed under the name Ailuropoda melanoleuca (giant panda). It matches the Rfam family "tRNA". From Rfam's summary of the family: Transfer RNA (tRNA) molecules are approximately 80 nucleotides in length. Their secondary structure includes four short double-helical elements and three loops (D, anti-codon, and T loops). Further hydrogen bonds mediate the characteristic L-shaped molecular structure. tRNAs have two regions of fundamental functional importance: the anti-codon, which is responsible for specific mRNA codon recognition, and the 3' end, to which the tRNAs corresponding amino acid is attached (by aminoacyl-tRNA synthetases). tRNAs cope with the degeneracy of the genetic code in two manners: having more than one tRNA (with a specific anti-codon) for a particular amino acid; and 'wobble' base-pairing, i.e. permitting non-standard base-pairing at the 3rd anti-codon position. Lineage: Eukaryota; Metazoa; Chordata; Mammalia; Carnivora; Ursidae. The record is from Rfam by way of RNAcentral.